Molecule: ribosomal RNA, 239 nt
Filed under: uncultured Staphylococcus sp.
Lineage: Bacteria; Bacillati; Bacillota; Bacilli; Caryophanales; Staphylococcaceae
Description: partial 16S ribosomal RNA
Rfam family: Bacterial small subunit ribosomal RNA
Source: RNAcentral
GGCGGGUGAGUAACACGUGGAUAACCUACCUAUAAGACUGGGAUAACUUCGGGAAACCGGAGCUAAUACCGGAUAAUAUAUUGAACCGCAUGGUUCAAUAGUGAAAGACGGUUUUGCUGUCACUUAUAGAUGGAUCCGCGCCGCAUUAGCUAGUUGGUAAGGUAACGGCUUACCAAGGCGACGAUGCGUGGCCGACCUGAGAGGGUGAUCGGCCACACUGGAACUGAGACACGGUCCAG